GUAGGGAAUAUUGCGCAAUGGGGGAAACCCUGACGCAGCGACGCCGCGUGAGUGAUGAAGGCCUUCGGGUCGUAAAGCUCUGUUGCAGGGGAAUAAAAAAAUGAAGGUACCCUGUGAGGAAGGAUCGGCUAACUUCGUGCCAGCAGCCGCGGUAAGACGAGGGAUCCUAGCGUUGCUCGGAAUCAUUGGUCGUAAAGAGGGCGUAGGUGGCUUGGUAAGUCAGGUGUGAGAGCCCAGGGCUCAACCCUGGAAGUGCAUUUGAUACUGCUGAGCUUGAGUGUCGGAGAGGUUACCGGAAUACCUGGUGUAGUGGUGAAAUACGUAGAUAUCAGGUGGAACACCGGAGGCGAAGGCGGGUAACUGGACGAACACUGACACUGAGGCCCGAAAGCGUGGGGAUCAAACAGGAUUAGAUACCCUAGUAGUCC
Molecule: ribosomal RNA, 428 nt
Filed under: uncultured bacterium
Lineage: Bacteria
Description: partial 16S ribosomal RNA
Rfam family: Bacterial small subunit ribosomal RNA
Source: RNAcentral